This 230-nucleotide long non-coding RNA is filed under the name Mytilus galloprovincialis (Mediterranean mussel). The record is from RNAcentral. Lineage: Eukaryota; Metazoa; Mollusca; Bivalvia; Mytilida; Mytilidae.
UUUUGUUUUUCGUUCAUUUUUUUUUAUAUAAAUAAGGCCGUUAGUUUUCUCGUUUGAAUUGUUUUACAUUGUCUUAUCAGGGCCUUUUAUAGCUGACUAUGCUGUAUGGGCUUUGUUCAUUGUUGAAGGCCGUACGGUGACCUAUAGUUGUUAAUGUCUGUGUCAUUUUGGUCUCUUGUGGACAGUUGUCUCAUUGGCAAUCAUACCUCAUCUUCUUUUUUAUAUGUGUA